UGGUGAGCGGCGGCGUGGCAAAUC
RNAcentral lists this microRNA (24 nucleotides) under Caenorhabditis briggsae. RNAcentral describes it as "Cbr-Mir-375_5p* (star (passenger))". Lineage: Eukaryota; Metazoa; Nematoda; Chromadorea; Rhabditida; Rhabditidae. The record is from RNAcentral.